GUGCUCGCUUCAGCAGCAUAUAUACCAAAUCUGGAACGAUACAGAGAAGCUUAGCAUGGCCCCAUGGAAGGAUGAUGCUCAAAUUCGCCAAGUGUUCCAUAUUUUU
Chionomys nivalis (European snow vole) is the source of this 106-nucleotide small nuclear RNA. NCBI's taxonomy places the organism in Eukaryota, Metazoa, Chordata, Mammalia, Rodentia, Cricetidae. The record is from RefSeq and is a predicted model, not a curated record.